RNAcentral lists this transfer RNA (78 nucleotides) under Bidens aurea. Its description in RNAcentral is "tRNA-Ile". The record is from RNAcentral. RNAcentral also lists the same sequence under 1 other name. Lineage: Eukaryota; Viridiplantae; Streptophyta; Magnoliopsida; Asterales; Asteraceae.
GGGCUAUUAGCUCAGUGGGUAGAGCGCGCCCCUGAUAAUUGCGCCUAACAACGCAUCUUCACAGACCAAGAACUACGA